RNAcentral lists this ribosomal RNA (491 nucleotides) under uncultured bacterium. RNAcentral's name for it is "partial 16S ribosomal RNA". It matches the Rfam family "Bacterial small subunit ribosomal RNA", at positions 29 to 506 of the family's 1533-position model. The record is from RNAcentral.
AGUGAACGCUGGCGGUAGGCCUAACACAUGCAAGUCGAACGGCAGCACAGUAAGAGCUUGCUCUUACGGGUGGCGAGUGGCGGACGGGUGAGGAAUACAUCGGAAUCUACUUUUUCGUGGGGGAUAACGUAGGGAAACUUACGCUAAUACCGCAUACGGCCUACGGGUGAAAGCAGGGGAUCUUCGGACCUUGCGCGAUUGAAUGAGCCGAUGUCGGAUUAGCUAGUUGGCGGGGUAAAGGCCCACCAAGGCGACGAUCCGUAGCUGGUCUGAGAGGAUGAUCAGCCACACUGGAACUGAGACACGGUCCAGACUCCUACGGGAGGCAGCAGUGGGGAAUAUUGGACAAUGGGCGCAAGCCUGAUCCAGCCAUACCGCGUGGGUGAAGAAGGCCUUCGGGUUGUAAAGCCCUUUUGUUGGGAAAGAAAAGCAGCAGGUUAAUACCCCGCUGUUCUGACGGGACCCAAAGAAUAAGCACCGGCUAACUUCGU